Molecule: ribosomal RNA, 524 nt
Filed under: uncultured bacterium
Lineage: Bacteria
Description: partial 16S ribosomal RNA
Rfam family: Bacterial small subunit ribosomal RNA
Source: RNAcentral
GACGAACGCUGGCGGCGUGCCUAAUACAUGCAAGUCGAGCGCAGGAAGCCGUCUGCACCCUUCGGGGGGACGACGGUGGAAUGAGCGGCGGACGGGUAAGUAACACGUAAAGAACCUGCCCAUAGGUCUGGGAUAACCACGAGAAAUCGGGGCUAAUACCGGAUGUGUCAUCGGACCGCAUGGUCCGCUGAUGAAAGGCGCUCCGGCGUCGCCCAUGGAUGGCUCUGCGGUGCAUUAGCUAGUUGGUGGGGUAACGGCCCACCAAGGCGACGAUGCAUAGCCGACCUGAGAGGGUGAUCGGCCACACUGGGACUGAGACACGGCCCAGACUCCUACGGGAGGCAGCAGUAGGGAAUCUUCCACAAUGGACGAAAGUCUGAUGGAGCAACGCCGCGUGAACGAUGAAGGCUUUCGGGUCGUAAAGUUCUGUUGUAAGGGAAGAACAAGUGCCGCAGGCAAUGGCGGCACCUUGACGGUACCUUGCGAGAAAGCCACGGCUAACUACGUGCCAGCCGCCGCUGUAA